CACAGCUGCCAUCUGCUUCCGGCUGGAAACGCAACGUCGGUGAUGAACCCGAAAGGACGCCAGCAGGCCGCGCGUCUCCCACCGAGAGGUGCUCUGGCUGCUGUGCCUCGUUCCGAACACCAGUGAGCGGUGAGGGGUCUAGUUCCAGAAAGCGCCCGGUGGCACUCUCACUGGGAUCGCACCAGAAAUCAACUCAGGGAGGAAGACAGUCAUGCGCCGUCAUUGCACCCCAACAUCAGGCACUGGUUUUGGUCUGUUUCGCAGGAGUCUCCUUCCGAAAAAGACCCCCGGGAGGUGGGAAGACCACUGCUCCUCAGGACAAAACCCAGAUACCUCCGUGAGUGGGUGGCCACAGGCCUGACCCCGGGAGGCCGGGCAGGACCUUACCUGGUCACCACCUCGAAGGCUGCACUUGUCUGUACCAGUGCCCAUGAGCCACCCACAGCCCAGCACACGACACCUUGGCCAAGGGGCGCCAUCUGGGCUCCUCCUGGGGUCAAAUGCGCCACCUGGCUGGCGCGUCAGGUCCGCAGAGUCUGUCCUGUGCCCACAGGAAGCAGUACUGGGAGCAGCCCCACAGCAGCCUGGCUACCGGCGACAAGCGUCCAGAAGGGACCCGUGUGGCCAGCCUGGCCCUCACUGUGCGAAGGCAGUGGGACCUCCAGAAGAAUCUCCAGAACCAGGGACUCAGCUCCUCGGCCUCCUACCAGGCGACUCCAUUCCUGACUUACCUCAAUGAUGGCCCCUGCCCUGCCUGGUCCUGCGCAUGCCAGAAGCAGUGACAGAAACGGUGCCCUCGGACGAGUGACUCCGCAGGUGGGCAGGGGCACGCAAUGGGGAUGCAAGCUGGUGAGACCACUGCCCUCCGCCCCCUGAAACAGCACAGGGCUCUCUCCACCUCGAGGCACUAAGAUGCCCCCAGACAGUGAGGGAGAUUCCCCAGGAAGCACAGAGCCCAGUGAGCAAGCAGGAAGGGAGCGUUUGAGACCACCAGGAGGAAGCGUGCCGGUGGGUGCAGACACGGAUCUGGGUGCGCGCAGAGAAGCGCCGGUGAUGGCUGUCUCCAGUGGACGGGGGCUUCUCAUUACUUCUCCUUGAGUAUAUUUUGUUGGGGUUUUUUUUUGAGGUAUAAAUUUUUUAAGAAAGAAAUUUUAAGUUCAUUUGGAAAAUAAAAUCCAAAAUUAUCAGCAACUGCCAUUUUCAUCUACCGGCUAGGCAAACACCCCACCCUUUGCUAACAUGCUAUGUGGGUGAGGUUCCUAGAAAACAAGUGUUCUCAUUCACUGUUGUUAAUAAAAACCGGAAAGAUACCAAAAAAUAAAAUGAAAACAAAUUUUUAAAGAAGAAUACAAACUGGUGCCACUGCGGCAGCACGGGCAGUUUGCCAGCACCUGCCAAAAUGACAGCUGAGUUUGAGCAGAGUGCACCUCGGGAGCUGACGCCGCAGAUACCUGGAUGCAAGCAAGGGCAGCCACAGGCUGCGUCUGCAUUGCCAGUUGGAGCAAACAGGCUGCUGUGAGAGGGAGGCACAGUGACCCACAGGAGAAGGUGCCGGUCAGCCUUGAAUGGAAAGAAUGACAGGUCUGCCAAAGCUCAGUGGAGAAAAGAGCCCCUAGAGGUGCC
Molecule: long non-coding RNA, 1623 nt
Organism: Artibeus jamaicensis (Jamaican fruit-eating bat)
Lineage: Eukaryota; Metazoa; Chordata; Mammalia; Chiroptera; Phyllostomidae
Exons: 3
Source: RefSeq, a predicted model, not a curated record